UUGGGGAAUAACAGUCGGAAACGACUGCUAAUACCGCAUAAUGCAGCGGCUCGACAUCGAGACAGUUGUUAAAGCGGGGGAUCGCAAGACCUCGCGCCUGAAGAGAAGCCUGCGGCAGAUUAGCUAGUUGGUAAGGUAAUGGCUUACCAAGGCGACGAUCUGUAACCGGCCUGAGAGGGCGGUCGGUCACACUGACACUGACAUACGGGUCAG
RNAcentral lists this ribosomal RNA (213 nucleotides) under uncultured bacterium. RNAcentral describes it as "partial 16S ribosomal RNA". It matches the Rfam family "Bacterial small subunit ribosomal RNA", at positions 136 to 334 of the family's 1533-position model. The record is from RNAcentral.